AACGAACGCUGGCGGCAGGCUUAACACAUGCAAGUCGAACGCGUGUAGCAAUACACGAGUGGCGCACGGGGUGAGUAACGCGUGGAUAUCUGCCUUUUGGUUCGGAAUAACUCCGGGAAACUGGAGCUAAUACCGGAUGGUUCCUACGGGAUAAAGAUUUAUCGCCAAAAGAUGAGUCCGCGUACGAUUAGCUAGUUGGUGAGGUAAUGGCUCACCAAGGCGACGAUCGUUAGCUGGUCUGAGAGGACGAUCAGCCACACUGGGACUGAGACACGGCCCAGACUCCUACGGGAGGCAGCAGUGGGGAAUAUUGGACAAUGGGGGCAACCCUGAUCCAGCCAUGCCGCGUGAGUGAUGAAGGCCUUCGGGUUGGUAAAGUCUCUUUGGUCGGGGACGGAGUGAUGACGGUACCCGGCCAGAAUAAGA
RNAcentral lists this ribosomal RNA (426 nucleotides) under uncultured bacterium. Its description in RNAcentral is "bacterial SSU rRNA". It matches the Rfam family "Bacterial small subunit ribosomal RNA", at positions 29 to 491 of the family's 1533-position model. The record is from RNAcentral.